Molecule: long non-coding RNA, 276 nt
Organism: Daphnia pulex (common water flea)
Lineage: Eukaryota; Metazoa; Arthropoda; Branchiopoda; Diplostraca; Daphniidae
Exons: 3
Source: RefSeq, a predicted model, not a curated record
GUGAAACGAGGUGAAAUAAUUGGUUGCAAAUUUAUACUCAUAUUCCUGUGAUUUCAAUUACCAAAUUGAACUUCGUAUCAUAUAUGCAUACUGUCAGUCAUUCCAACAAGUUGACUUAGCGCUCAGUCACUUUCCAUCCAAAAGACCCAUCAUUCUGUCUAAAAAUCAUGUUUUAAGCACACAUAUAGUGGAAUACAAAUCUGCCGAGUUAAGGAUCUUUUCUGAAUCUCGCAAUUUCAGUGGCGUACCCUGCAACAGCAUGUUUGUUGUUAUGGC